GUAGGGUGCGAGCGUUAAUCGGAAUUACUGGGCGUAAAGUGUGCGCAGGCGGCUUCGCAAGUCGAGUGUGAAAUCCCCGAGCUUAACUUGGGAAUUGCGCUCGAAACUACGGAGCUGGAGUGUGGCAGAGGAAGGUGGAAUUCCACGUGUAGCGGUGAAAUGCGUAGAGAUGUGGAGGAACACCGAUGGCGAAGGCAGCCUUCUGGGCCAACACUGACGCUCAUGCACGAAAGCGUGGGGAGCAAACAGGAUUAGAUACCCUGGUAGUCCACGCCCUAAACGAUGAUGACUAGUUGUUGGAGGAGUUAAAUCCUUUAGUAACGCAGCUAACGCGUGAAGUCAUCCGCCUGGGGAGUACGGUC
Molecule: ribosomal RNA, 362 nt
Filed under: uncultured bacterium
Lineage: Bacteria
Description: bacterial SSU rRNA
Rfam family: Bacterial small subunit ribosomal RNA
Source: RNAcentral